GAUGAACGCUGGCGGCGUGCCUAAUACAUGCAAGUCGAGCGAACAGACGAUGAGCUUGCUCCUCUGACGUUAGCGGCGGACGGGUGAGUAACACGUGGAUAACCUACCUAUAAGACUGGGAUAACUUCGGGAAACCGGAGCUAAUACCGGAUAAUAUAUUGAACCGCAUGGUUCAAUAGUGAAAGACGGUUUUGCUGUCACUUAUAGAUGGAUCCGCGCCGCAUUAGCUAGUUGGUAAGGUAACGGCUUACCAAGGCAACGAUGCGUAGCCGACCUGAGAGGGUGAUCGGCCACACUGGAACUGAGACACGGUCCAGACUCCUACGGGAGGCAGCAGUAGGGAAUCUUCGGCAAUGGGCGAAAGCCUGACGGAGCAACGCCGCGUGAAUGAUGAAGGUCUUCGGAUCGUAAAACUCUGUUAUUAGGGAAGAACAAAUGUGUAAGUAACUAUGCACGUCUUGACGGUACCUAAUCAGAAAGCCACGGCUAACUACGUG
This 497-nucleotide ribosomal RNA is filed under the name uncultured bacterium. Its description in RNAcentral is "partial 16S ribosomal RNA". It matches the Rfam family "Bacterial small subunit ribosomal RNA", at positions 28 to 507 of the family's 1533-position model. The record is from RNAcentral.